RNAcentral lists this ribosomal RNA (502 nucleotides) under uncultured bacterium. RNAcentral describes it as "partial 16S ribosomal RNA". It matches the Rfam family "Bacterial small subunit ribosomal RNA", at positions 30 to 523 of the family's 1533-position model. The record is from RNAcentral.
AUUGAACGCUGGCGGAAUGCUUUACACAUGCAAGUCGAACGGCAGCAUGGGUGCUUGCACCUGAUGGCGAGUGGCGAACGGGUGAGUAAUAUAUCGGGAGGUGCCCAGUCGGGGGGGAUAACGUAGCGAAAGCUACGCUCAUAGCGCAUACGAUCUAUGGAUGAAAGCGGGGGACCUUCGGGCCCCGCGCGAUUGGAGCGGCCGAUAUCAGAUUAGGUAGUUGGUGGGGUAAAGGCUCACCAAGCCGACGAUCUGUAGCUGGUCUGAGAGGACGACCAGCCACACUGGGACUGAGACACGGCCCAGACUCCUACGGGAGGCAGCAGUGGGGAAUUUUGGACAAUGGACGCAAGUCUGAUCCAGCCAUUCCGCGUGAAGGACGAAGGCCUUCGGGUUGUAAACUGCUUUUGUACAGAACGAAAAGGUUUCUAUUAAUACUAGGGGCUCAUGACGGUACUGUAAGAAUAAGCACCGGCUAACUACGUGCCAGCAGCCGCGGUAA